AGAAUACAACGCUGGCGGCGUGCCUAACACAUGCAAGUCGAACGAGAAAGUGGAGCAAUCCAUGAGUAAAGUGGCGACCGGGUGAGUAACACGUGACUAACCUACCUUCGAGUGGGGGAUAACCUCGGGAAACCGAGGCUAAUACCGCAUAACAUCGUGAGAUCAAAGCAGUAAUGCGCUGGAAGAGGGGGUCGCGGCUGAUUAGCUAGUUGGCGGGGUAAUGGCCCACCAAGGCGAAGAUCGGUA
RNAcentral lists this ribosomal RNA (246 nucleotides) under uncultured bacterium. Its description in RNAcentral is "partial small subunit ribosomal RNA". It matches the Rfam family "Bacterial small subunit ribosomal RNA", at positions 32 to 285 of the family's 1533-position model. The record is from RNAcentral.